This 902-nucleotide ribosomal RNA is filed under the name uncultured bacterium. Its description in RNAcentral is "bacterial SSU rRNA". It matches the Rfam family "Bacterial small subunit ribosomal RNA", at positions 33 to 930 of the family's 1533-position model. The record is from RNAcentral.
ACGCUGGCGGCGUGCUUAACACAUGCAAGUCGAACGCUGAAGGCCCAGCUUGCUGGGUUGGAUGAGUGGCGAACGGGUGAGUAACACGUGAGUAACCUGCCCCCUUCUUUGGGAUAACGGUCGGAAACGGCUGCUAAUACCGGGUAUUCACUGUCCUUCGCAUGGGGGGUGGUGGAAAGGUUUUUUCUGGUGGGGGAUGGGCUCGCGGCCUAUCAGCUUGUUGGUGGGGUGAUGGCUUACCAAGGCUUUGACGGGUAACCGGCCUGAGAGGGUGACCGGUCACAUUGGGACUGAGAUACGGCCCAGACUCCUACGGGAGGCAGCAGUGGGGAAUAUUGCACAAUGGGCGAAAGCCUGAUGCAGCGACGCCGCGUGAGGGAUGACGGCCUUCGGGUUGUAAACCUCUUUCGCUCAUGGUCAAGCCGCAACAGUGGUUGUGGUGAGGGUAGUGGGUAAAGAAGCACCGGCUAACUACGUGCCAGCAGCCGCGGUAAUACGUAGGGUGCGAGCGUUGUCCGGAAUUAUUGGGCGUAAAGGGCUUGUAGGCGGUUUGUCGCGUCUGCCGUGAAAUCCUCUGGCUUAACUGGGGGCGUGCGGUGGGUACGGGCAGGCUUGAGUGCGGUAGGGGAGACUGGAACUCCUGGUGUAGCGGUGGAAUGCGCAGAUAUCAGGAAGAACACCGGUGGCGAAGGCGGGUCUCUGGGCCGUUACUGACGCUGAGGAGCGAAAGCGUGGGGAGCGAACAGGAUUAGAUACCCUGGUAGUCCACGCUGUAAACGUUGAGCACUAGGUGUGGGGGCCACCCGUGGUUUCUGCGCCGUAGCUAACGCUUUAAGUGCCCCGCCUGGGGAGUACGGCCGCAAGGCUAAAACUCAAAGGAAUUGACGGGGGCCCGCACAAGC